RNAcentral lists this ribosomal RNA (1319 nucleotides) under Bacillus subtilis. Its description in RNAcentral is "bacterial SSU rRNA". It matches the Rfam family "Bacterial small subunit ribosomal RNA", at positions 73 to 1359 of the family's 1533-position model. The record is from RNAcentral. Lineage: Bacteria; Bacillati; Bacillota; Bacilli; Caryophanales; Bacillaceae.
UUCCCACAAUUGGGAACUUGCUGCUGAUGUUAGCGGCGGACGGGUGAGUACACGUGGGUAACCUGCCUGUAAGACUGGGAUAACUCCGGGAAACCGGGGCUAUACCGGAUGGUUGUUUGAACCGCAUGGUUCAAACAUAAAAGGUGGCUUCGGCUACCACUUACAGAUGGACCCGCGGCGCAUUAGCUAGUUGGUGAGGUAACGGCUCACCAAGGCAACGAUGCGUAGCCGACCUGAGAGGGUGAUCGGCCACACUGGGACUGAGACACGGCCCAGACUCCUACGGGAGGCAGCAGUAGGGAAUCUUCCGCAAUGGACGAAAGUCUGACGGAGCAACGCCGCGUGAGUGAUGAAGGUUUUCGGAUCGUAAAGCUCUGUUGUUAGGGAAGAACAAGUACCGUUCGAAUAGGGCGGUACCUUGACGGUACCUAACCAGAAAGCCACGGCUAACUACGUGCCAGCAGCCGCGGUAAUACGUAGGUGGCAAGCGUUGUCCGGAAUUAUUGGGCGUAAAGGGCUCGCAGGCGGUUUCUUAAGUCUGAUGUGAAAGCCCCCGGCUCAACCGGGGAGGGUCAUUGGAAACUGGGGAACUUGAGUGCAGAAGAGGAGAGUGGAAUUCCACGUGUAGCGGUGAAAUGCGUAGAGAUGUGGAGGAACACCAGUGGCGAAGGCGACUCUCUGGUCUGUAACUGACGCUGAGGAGCGAAAGCGUGGGGAGCGAACAGGAUUAGAUACCCUGGUAGUCCACGCCGUAAACGAUGAGUGCUAAGUGUUAGGGGGUUUCCGCCCCUUAGUGCUGCAGCUAACGCAUUAAGCACUCCGCCUGGGGGAGUACGGUCGCAAGACUGAAACUCAAAGGAAUUGACGGGGGCCCGCACAAGCGGUGGAGCAUGUGGUUUAAUUCGAAGCAACGCGAAGAACCUUACCAGGUCUUGACAUCCUCUGACAAUCCUAGAGAUAGGACGUCCCCUUCGGGGGCAGAGUGACAGGUGGUGCAUGGUUGUCGUCAGCUCGUGUCGUGAGAUGUUGGGUUAAGUCCCGCAACGAGCGCAACCCUUGAUCUUAGUUGCCAGCAUUCAGUUGGGCACUCUAAGGUGACUGCCGGUGACAAACCGGAGGAAGGUGGGGAUGACGUCAAAUCAUCAUGCCCCUUAUGACCUGGGCUACACACGUGCUACAAUGGACAGAACAAAGGGCAGCGAAACCGCGAGGUUAAGCCAAUCCCACAAAUCUGUUCUCUUUUCGGAUCGCAGUCUGCAACUCGACUGCCUGAAGCUGGAAUCGCUAGAAACGCGGCGCAGCAGGUCUACCGGGGCCCG